This is a long non-coding RNA of Eriocheir sinensis (Chinese mitten crab), 1213 nucleotides long. RefSeq lists it as uncharacterized. NCBI's taxonomy places the organism in Eukaryota, Metazoa, Arthropoda, Malacostraca, Decapoda, Varunidae. The record is from RefSeq and is a predicted model, not a curated record. The transcript is spliced from 4 exons.
GGCAUUGGCAACUGUCGUAUCAGCGCCUAAACUUCAGUGUGCUGGGACCCCUUGAGAGGUAAGGGCGUUGUGCUGCGUGGCUGCACCUUUUAGCAUCUUAUUGGAGCUGGUGAGACAGCAGGCAACCCUCCCCAUUUAUCCAGGCUUGGGACUGGCUCAUAGUUGGGCUGGCUUGACUCCCAUGAGGCUGAGUACUUCUUUGAAUAUAUAAACUCCAGUGCUAUCCCUGCAUAUGUGCAUGGCUGUCAUAACUGAAUCUUGCACUUAAAAGAACUAAGACAUUUUUGCAAGGUGGGAAGUCUCGUGUCAAGAAGGAAAAAAAUAAGACAUUGAAUUGGGAAUGCUAGAUGGAGGCUGAUGCUCCAGGGAGAGGAGAAAACUUACCUGACAGGUGAUGCAAGAGAUGAGACACCAAUACCUUUUAAGACUGACUAGAAGAUGAGGAACCAGUCAGUAAAUGUGUGGCUGGUGCUGCAAACAACCACCACCACCACCUGCCAUCAUCUUGCUGCCAACUGCUUCCUGUUGUCAGACCCGCUGCUCCCACCGGAGAUGAUAAGGAACCAGCCAGCAUCAAUGUGGCUAUGACUGCUGACCACCACCACCACAGCCAGCUACUGUCCACUGCUGGCACCUCGCAGCUUCCUGCUAAAGACUGAAUCACUGUUGUUUUCACUGGGCCAAAAGACACCUGAAAAGGCACUUGUACUUUAGUGACUGAUUGAUCUUUAUCUUAAGCAAUCAUUUAAUGCAGAAAAUGUGAAUCAGGUCUUACCACUAAUAAAUGUAAUGCACUGUCUCCAAUACCUCACCCACCUCUGAUAUUAAUUUAACAUAUGACUUUUCAAGUAAAUAAAACUUGUAUAGUUGGUUUUGUUUUAUAUCAUGAUUACUCAUGGCUGAGAAAAUCUGACUGGAAUGUGUUGGACUUGCCAUUUCUUUCGUGAAAAAUAAAGAAAAUAACUAGUACACCCAGCCUCGAUACGUUUAGGUUUAAUCCCUUCACUAUGGCCGGGCCAAAACACCGCCGUAUCCGAGAUUGCUGUGCGCGCCAAAUUUCAAAUGUCUUUAUUGAAUAUAACAAGUUUUCAGCCAUAAACUCAACAUAAUCAUCAAGUAUUAUAUAUGAAAACAUGCAAAAUGAAAUGGUGCACAUAAAGAAACAUAAAUUAACUGAUAAUUUUGAGAUGUAAUCAUAAAUAUAGAUAUAGAU